This 253-nucleotide ribosomal RNA is filed under the name uncultured bacterium. Its description in RNAcentral is "partial 16S ribosomal RNA". It matches the Rfam family "Bacterial small subunit ribosomal RNA", at positions 524 to 776 of the family's 1533-position model. The record is from RNAcentral.
UACGGGGGGGGCAAGCGUUGUUCGGAAUUACUGGGCGUAAAGGGCUCGUAGGCGGCCAACUAAGUCAGACGUGAAAUCCCUCGGCUUAACCGGGGAACUGCGUCUGAUACUGGAUGGCUUGAAUCCGGGAGAGGGAUGCGGAAUUCCAGGUGUAGCGGUGAAAUGCGUAGAUAUCUGGAGGAACACCGGUGGCGAAGGCGGGACUCUGGGCCGAUACUGACGCUGAGGAGCGAAAGCGUGGGGAUCAAACAGG